Molecule: ribosomal RNA, 757 nt
Filed under: Phytophthora vignae
Lineage: Eukaryota; Oomycota; Peronosporomycetes; Peronosporales; Peronosporaceae
Description: partial 28S ribosomal RNA
Rfam family: Eukaryotic large subunit ribosomal RNA
Source: RNAcentral
CCAAAGGGAUCCCCUAGUAACGGCGAGUGAAGCGGGAAGAGCUCAAGCUUAAAAUCUCCGUGCAAGUUUUGCGCGGCGAAUUGUAGUCUAUAGAGGCGUGGUCAGCGUGGGCGCUUGGGGCAAGUUCCUUGGAAGAGGACAGCAUGGAGGGUGAUACUCCCGUUCAUCCCUGAGUGGCUCGUGCGUACGACCCGUGUUCUUUGAGUCGCGUUGUUUGGGAAUGCAGCGCAAAGUAGGUGGUAAAUUCCAUCUAAAGCUAAAUAUUGGUGCGAGACCGAUAGCGAACAAGUACCGUGAGGGAAAGAUGAAAAGAACUUUGAAAAGAGAGUUAAAGAGUACCUGAAACUGCUGAAAGGGAACCGAAUCGUUUCCAGUGUCUAUAAUCCGUGGCAUAUUUCAUUGGCGAGUGUGCGCGUGCGUGUGCUGUGGCAGUGGCUUUUUUGGCUGCGCUCGGUGUGUGUGCUGUGUGUGCUUGCUGGUGCCCUGUGCUGCGGUGGGACGUCAAGGUCAGUUCGUAUGCUGCGGGAAAUGGCUGCCGAGGAGGUAGGGCUUACGCUCCGCGUUUGUCUGUUAUAUCUUGGUGGACGAGUCGUCGCGGUUGGGACUGAGGUGCCUACAACGUGCUUUUGAGUGGGUUUGUGUCUCCGUGUGCGCCGUGUGCGGAUAGCUUGCUAUGCGUGUGUGGUUGUGUGUGGAUUGAUGCGGGCUUUAACUUGUCGCCGUUCGGGACGUUGACGAAAUGGAGCGAUCCGACCGC